CAGAGCCUACGGGAGGCAGCAGUGGGGAAUAUUGGGCAAUGGGCGCAAGCCUGACCCAGCAACGCCGCGUGAAGGAAGAAGGCGUUCGGGUUGUAAAUUUCUUUUAUGAGGGACGAAAGAAAUGACGGUACCUCAUGAAUAAGCCACGGCUAACUACGUGCCAGCAGCCGCGGUAAUACGUAGGUGGCAAGCGUUGUCCGGAUUUACUGGGUGUAAAGGGCGUGCAGCCGGGCUGACAAGUCAGAUGUGAAAUCCCGCGGCUCAACCGCGGAACUGCAUUUGAAACUGUCAGUCUUGAGUACCGG
This 305-nucleotide ribosomal RNA is filed under the name uncultured bacterium. RNAcentral's name for it is "bacterial SSU rRNA". It matches the Rfam family "Bacterial small subunit ribosomal RNA", at positions 332 to 652 of the family's 1533-position model. The record is from RNAcentral.